GAUGAACGCCGGCGGCGUGCCUAAUACAUGCAAGUCGAGCGAACGGACGAGAAGCUUGCUUCUCUGAUGUUAGCGGCGGACGGGUGAGUAACACGUGGAUAACCUACCUAUAAGACUGGGAUAACUUCGGGAAACCGGAGCUAAUACCGGAUAAUAUUUUGAACCGCAUGGUUCAAAAGUGAAAGGCGGUCUUGCUGUCACUUAUAGAUGGAUCCGCGCUGCAUUAGCUAGUUGGUAAGGUAACGGCUUACCAAGGCAACGAUGCAUAGCCGACCUGAGAGGGUGAUCGGCCACACUGGAACUGAGACACGGUCCAGACUCCUACGGGAGGCAGCAGUAGGGAAUCUUCCGCAAUGGGCGAAAGCCUGACGGAGCAACGCCGCGUGAGUGAUGAAGGUCUUCGGAUCGUAAAACUCUGUUAUUAGGGAAGAACAUAUGUGUAAGUAACUGUGCACAUCUUGACGGUACCUAAUCAGAAAGCCACGGCUAACUACGUG
Molecule: ribosomal RNA, 497 nt
Filed under: uncultured bacterium
Lineage: Bacteria
Description: partial 16S ribosomal RNA
Rfam family: Bacterial small subunit ribosomal RNA
Source: RNAcentral